UGGAAUAUCUUGGAGGAAGUACAAAAAGUGAUACAAGACAGCAAAGCAGACAUCUUCCUAAAAAUAUUGAAUGGCUUUGUUUGCUUUCUAGGUGUGGUUUAUUUGUGUACUUUAGCUAGAUGGCUUAUUGAUUCUGGUAAUAGAUUGGUUUGUUACAAAUUCCUUGCUUUGAGUUGCCUUUUUUUUUUUAUUGGUUUUUUCAACUAUUGUGGUAUUGAUAUUCCUACAUUUCAAAUGCUUUGGUAAUUAGUAAUCUAGUCAUUUUAAAGUAUUUUGGCUACUUGAACAGUGUCUGGGUAUGUUGAUAAAUUAUAAGAAUUGUCGAAACUAUAAUAAACAAAUAAACAAGGAUUUAUUUUGGAUGCAUUUUACUCGUGAAUGAAUCUAUAUGCUUACAAAUUUUUGCUAGUUAUUUUUAGGUGCUUAGUUUCUAUUGCGUUUUGUGAGUUUUUAAUACAGAUGCUAUUUCAUAAUUUAUAUUAUUCAUGCAAUCAUGAAUCAUUAGUGCUGAAAUUUAUUCUUGUUUUAUUUGGAGGUAUUCUCCUCUAUCUUUAUCGCCAUGAUCAAUUUGUCGUUAAAUGAAAGUAAACAUAAAAGUUACCAAGAAUGAGUAUGCCAUUUGAGAAUAUUUUUUAUAUUUUGAAUAUUGCUGUUAAAAAAUUCAUCAAAAAAUAUGUUGUU
This 681-nucleotide long non-coding RNA is filed under the name Citrus sinensis (sweet orange). Its description in RNAcentral is "long non-coding RNA (CSIN_LNC005743)". The record is from RNAcentral. Lineage: Eukaryota; Viridiplantae; Streptophyta; Magnoliopsida; Sapindales; Rutaceae.